This 69-nucleotide transfer RNA is filed under the name Pegoscapus sp. MX08_055. Its description in RNAcentral is "tRNA-Leu". Lineage: Eukaryota; Metazoa; Arthropoda; Insecta; Hymenoptera; Agaonidae. The record is from RNAcentral.
UCUAAUAUGGCAGAAUAGUGCAAUAAAUUUAAGCUUUAUAUAUGUAAAUAUUUUAUUUUACUAUUAGAA